This is a long non-coding RNA of Oxyura jamaicensis (ruddy duck), 290 nucleotides long. RefSeq lists it as uncharacterized. Lineage: Eukaryota; Metazoa; Chordata; Aves; Anseriformes; Anatidae. The transcript is spliced from 2 exons. The record is from RefSeq and is a predicted model, not a curated record.
AGUAGAUUUCAGUCUUGAAGCCUUUUGAAGACACGGCACUGAAAAGUCUGAAAUUCAUGAAAAUCUUGGUUCACUGUAUUCUUAGAAAAAGCAGAUCUGGCUCCCUUGUGCUACCUUAACCUUAUGAUCUUCCAUCACUUUUCUCUGGGUAAUGCUAUCCAAGAAGUUAUCCAGUACUGAGUAACUUCAUCAAGAGGAGGGUUCCUGAAACAGCUGCAGGACUUAGAUAUUGAACUAAGAUACAUACGGUAUACACCUAUGUAAAUUCUUAUGAAAUAGAAGAUCAAAGU